Molecule: long non-coding RNA, 1410 nt
Organism: Caenorhabditis elegans
Lineage: Eukaryota; Metazoa; Nematoda; Chromadorea; Rhabditida; Rhabditidae
Gene: linc-31
Product: ncRNA
Source: Ensembl
UUUAAUGUUUUGUAGAUAUGAGGAAUGGACUCAUACCGAUGUAAACGGAUAAAAAUGUAUCAAAUAGAUCUAGGAUUCAAUACUAAACGAGGGGGAGUCGUCAUAUAGCCAUGUUUUUCUGGAAUUCCGGAAACGAUAGUAAAAGGAAACGCUGACGGGGAGUUUCGGUAGAGCAAGGCGGAGGAUGAGUGCAAUGAGCAAUUCACUUGAGAAUAUCUCAGAAAAUGGACGAAAAACGUCACUUUUGAAAAAAGUUGGACUUGAAUUCAAGGCAACAUUACAUAUAAAUUCAAAGAAGAUUGAGGUGCCGGAAAAGUAAUGCACUGCUUCAAAUGUUUAUUGCCUAGUAUAAUCAACUAAAGAGACUCUAGCAAGCGAAAACCUGGAAUUAGAUGACGUGAUGGUUUACUGUAUAUAUCGUGAAAGUGAAAUUUGGACAAACAGCUUCUCCCAAUUGAGGUACGUGUAACAAAAUUUCCCACAAAACUGCGCCUCCAUCAUGCCUACAUAUGUACCUAUUGUAUGAAAAAUGAGUUUUUAAUACUAUUAUAUAUCCACAGGAUUUAUCAACAGUUAACUAUAGAACUCCUAGUUUCUGUUGAAACUCAAAUUUUAAAUAUUCCAUCAGUCGUUAAUUUUUUGGCAAAUUCUUUUUCAAAAAUUGUUUCAAGGAACAAAUGCUUCUAUUUCUAUUUACUUACAUAACCAGCUUCUUCAACUUCUGCUUGUUAUUUUCAGACGUCUAAUAGAAUUUAAUACUAAGUUCCGGUCACUUGUUGUUGUCUCUGUUUUCGGGAAGUAUCUAAUUCUAUUAAUUGGAGUAGGGGGAGGCCUGAUAUUAUUUAAAGGGGGAGUAGAGUUUGUGGGGAAAUAUAUGUUUCUGACUCUAAUUUUGCCCCUGAUGCCGAAUAUCGAUGUGAAAAAAUUCAAAAAAAUUUCCCUGAUUUUAUAUUAAUUUUUAAAAUCCGAAAAUUCAUUGGAUGCCUAUAUGUGAGUUUUCAAACGCUGAAUUUUCCCGCCAGAGACGCCCCGCCCACGAAACCGUGCCGCAAGUGUGGGUUUACGAGAUGAAUAUUUUCCUUCUAUUUUUAUUUGAUUUUAUACCGAUUUUCGUCGAUUUUUCUCAUUUUUUCGCUGUUUUAUAUUGAAAUUUUUGUUAUUUCUCUUAAAUUAUGCCUUUCUAUUGAUGAAAUACACAAAAUUUCAUAAAAAAUUCCAUUUUCAGCACAAAUUCGACGGGAAACGAGGAAAAUCGCGGAGACACGACGAUUUUUUGAAAAUUAUCCGGAACACGUUGAUUCGUCGCGCUCCCGAGGACAAUAUUCGAUUUUUGUAGUUUUUUUUUUACCAAAAAUGUUUUUCUUGUAAAGUUUAUUGAAUAUAAACAGUUUUAUAAUAAUUUUACUUGUU